GGGGACGAUUUUGGAUUCGACGCCGAUGAUGAAGCUUGAGGUGCAUGUGGAGAGGGUAUGACGAUCUCCUAAAUAAACGUUAUACAUAUAAAUAGUCGCAAACGACGAAAACUACGCACUAGCGGCAUAAUAGCCCGCUAACCUCUGAUUCUGGAUGCCUGUGGACAGAUGACGAGGGCACGCAACACAGGCUCGCGAUGGAGGCUUGUCUAAGGCUGAAGCGUUAAAUAAGUAUUAGGCUCGCCCUAAACGCCCUGUCUCUCGGGCCGUGAUGGGUUAAUCUAGUAGAGUGACUAAACAUGUAGAACCGAUAGUGGAGUGUUGGCGGACGCGGGUUCGAACCCCGCCGUCUCCACCA
RNAcentral lists this transfer-messenger RNA (358 nucleotides) under Bermanella marisrubri. Its description in RNAcentral is "Standard tmRNA". It matches the Rfam family "transfer-messenger RNA". From Rfam's summary of the family: Bacterial tmRNA, also known as 10Sa RNA or SsrA, is named for its dual tRNA and mRNA-like properties. Its role is to liberate the mRNA from a stalled ribosome. To accomplish this part of the tmRNA is used as a reading frame that ends in a translation stop signal. Lineage: Bacteria; Pseudomonadati; Pseudomonadota; Gammaproteobacteria; Oceanospirillales; Oceanospirillaceae. The record is from Rfam by way of RNAcentral.